UAAGGAAUAUUGCUCAAUGGGAGAAAUCCUGAAGCAGCAACGCCGCGUGGAGGAUGAAGGGUCUAUGACUUGUAAACUCCUGUAAAGAAGGAAAAAAUUCCCAUUUGAUGGGAGAUGAUGGUACUUCUGGAGUAAGCCCCGGCUAACUACGUGCCAGCAGCCGCGGUAAUACGUAGGGGGCAAGCGUUGUCCGGAUUUACUGGGUGUAAAGGGUGCUCAGGCGGAUUUGUAAGUCAGAGGUGAAAUCUUACAGCUUAACUGUGAAACUGCCUUUGAUACUGCAAGCCUAGAGUAUGGAAGAGAGUGAUGGAAUAUCUGGUGUAGCAGUGAAAUGCGUAGAUAUCAGAUAGAACACCAAUGGCGAAGGCAGUCACUUGGUCCAUUACUGACGCUAAAGCACGAAAGCAUGGGUAGCAAACA
RNAcentral lists this ribosomal RNA (420 nucleotides) under uncultured bacterium. Its description in RNAcentral is "bacterial SSU rRNA". It matches the Rfam family "Bacterial small subunit ribosomal RNA", at positions 355 to 774 of the family's 1533-position model. The record is from RNAcentral.